UGAUAGUCACGUGAUCCGGUGCAUGUGACUCUGUUUUGAGAGGACAAACAAAAGAGAAGAAAGUCCUGCAGGUAGCCUGAAGCUGCAAGCCUUCCUCCAUUUUAAAACUACUCUUUAUAUCUAUAUUGAUUGGUACCACGCCCAAUGGAAAAGCUACUAGUCCUACCACUUCUCUUGACCCUCUUCUCGGUAUUUUUCCAGCCAGUCAGUGCUUACAGAUUUGGUGUUGGAGAUGGUCUUGCUAUAGUCCUGUUUGUUGUCAUUGGAGUGAUUGCGAUAUGCGCUCUGUUGGGCUGGAUCUCUAGGAAAAGAGCUGGACGUUAAUUGGAGAAAACCAUCACUACUGCAAACGAAUGGAUAGAUACAUUAAAGCUUGCACACUAUAAAUUAUCUAUAUUAUUAUUAUCAUAUUAUUAUUAUUGUUAUGUUAAUUCUAAUUGAUGUACAUGUGUUUGUACAUGCAUACAUGCUGAAAAUAUUAUUAUAAUUUUUUUUCCUAUUUUUCUUUUUUUUUUGGUUGUAAUUUACGUGUGAUUUAUUGUAAA
Amphimedon queenslandica is the source of this 545-nucleotide long non-coding RNA. RefSeq lists it as uncharacterized. The transcript is spliced from 2 exons. NCBI's taxonomy places the organism in Eukaryota, Metazoa, Porifera, Demospongiae, Haplosclerida, Niphatidae. The record is from RefSeq and is a predicted model, not a curated record.